CAGACAUCAAGUUAGAUAUCUCAGCCAAGUCCUGCAAAGUGGACGAAAAGUGCGACGUUGGUGAAACAGCAUAUACCUGCGAAGGCUGCGAGUACAAGGGUGUGAAGUGCAACGGUGCUGACGCUGCCGCUGAUAAAGUCAAGGCCGAUGCGGCGGCUAAGAAGAUCACUUACGCUUUUGAGAAGUUCGCAGAUACAGACGCUUGUGUGUAUAUGGGACAGUUUGAUGUAAGCGGCAAAGAGCACAGCCAACCAGUAGCUGUUAUAGAGAUUUAAUUUUCAGAUAUUACAAUCGAGGUACAAAAGAAGACUGCAAAACCAGACGAAGCAUUUAAUGAGAAAAUCACAUUUAAGACUGAAAAGGAAGUCGAUGUAGAGGAGGUCCAUGUUAACGGGAAAGUUGUGCCAAAGAAUGCAGAUGAUGGUUUUCAGGUGGACAUGCAAGGAAAGACCAUAAUAGUCAAAAUUCCCAAAAUGUCCGCGGACUUCGCAGGCCACUACCAAGCCAAGUUCAAGGACGGAGAUGCGACCGUCACCAAGAAUAUUCUGGAGGUCACGCUGUAAG
Long non-coding RNA from Cydia amplana, 564 nucleotides. RefSeq lists it as uncharacterized. The record is from RefSeq and is a predicted model, not a curated record. The transcript has 5 exons. NCBI's taxonomy places the organism in Eukaryota, Metazoa, Arthropoda, Insecta, Lepidoptera, Tortricidae.